AUUGAACGCUGGCGGCAGGCCUAACACAUGCAAGUCGAGCGGUAACACAGGGAGCUUGCUCCCGGGUGACGAGCGGCGGACGGGUGAGUAAUGUCUGGGAAACUGCCUGAUGGAGGGGGAUAACUACUGGAAACGGUAGCUAAUACCGCAUAAUGUCGCAAGACCAAAGAGGGGGACCUUCGGGCCUCUUGCCAUCAGAUGUGCCCAGAUGGGAUUAGCUAGUAGGUGGGGUAACGGCUCACCUAGGCGACGAUCCCUAGCUGGUCUGAGAGGAUGACCAGCCACACGGGAACUGAGACACGGUCCAGACUCAUACGGGAGGCAGCAGUGGGGAAUAUUGCACAAUGGGCGCAAGCCUGAUGCAGCCAUGCCGCGUGUAUGAAGAAGGCCUUCGGGUUGUAAAGUACUUUCAGCGGGGAGGAAGGUGUUGAGGUUAAUAACCUCAGCAAUUGACGUUACCCGCAGAAGAAGCACCGGCUAACUCCGUGCCAGCCGCCGCGGUAA
RNAcentral lists this ribosomal RNA (504 nucleotides) under uncultured bacterium. RNAcentral describes it as "partial 16S ribosomal RNA". It matches the Rfam family "Bacterial small subunit ribosomal RNA", at positions 30 to 523 of the family's 1533-position model. The record is from RNAcentral.